UGAACGCUGGCGGCAGGCCUAACACAUGCAAGUCGAGCGGAUGAAGGGAGCUUGCUCCUGGAUUCAGCGGCGGACGGGUGAGUAAUGCCUAGGAAUCUGCCUGGUAGUGGGGGAUAACGUCCGGAAACGGGCGCUAAUACCGCAUACGUCCUGAGGGAGAAAGUGGGGGAUCUUCGGACCUCACGCUAUCAGAUGAGCCUAGGUCGGAUUAGCUAGUUGGUGGGGUAAAGGCCUACCAAGGCGACGAUCCGUAACUGGUCUGAGAGGAUGAUCAGUCACACUGGAACUGAGACACGGUCCAGACUCCUACGGGGGGCAGCAGUGGGGAAUAUUGGACAAUGGGCGAAAGCCUGAUCCAGCCAUGCCGCGUGUGUGAAGAAGGUCUUCGGAUUGUAAAGCACUUUAAGUUGGGAGGAAGGGCAGUAAGUUAAUACCUUGCUGUUUUGACGUUACCAACAGAAUAAGCACCGGCUAACUUCGUG
This 482-nucleotide ribosomal RNA is filed under the name uncultured bacterium. RNAcentral describes it as "partial 16S ribosomal RNA". It matches the Rfam family "Bacterial small subunit ribosomal RNA", at positions 30 to 507 of the family's 1533-position model. The record is from RNAcentral.